Molecule: ribosomal RNA, 500 nt
Filed under: uncultured bacterium
Lineage: Bacteria
Description: partial 16S ribosomal RNA
Rfam family: Bacterial small subunit ribosomal RNA
Source: RNAcentral
GAUGAACGCUAGCGGCAGGCCUAAUGCAUGCAAGUCGAACGGUAACAUGAGUAGCAAUACUUGAUGACGAGUGGCGCACGGGUGCGUAACGCGUAUGCAAUCUACCUUUAACCGGUGAAUAGCCCGAAGAAAUUCGGAUUAAUACACCAUAGUAUGUUUGAGUGGCAUCACUUAAACAUUAAAGUUCCGACGGUUAAAGAUGAGCAUGCGUGACAUUAGCUAGUUGGUAAGGUAACGGCUUACCAAGGCAACGAUGUCUAGGGGAUCUGAGAGGAUUAACCCCCACACUGGUACUGAGACAGGGACCAGACUCCUACGGGAGGCAGCAGUAAGGAAUAUUGGACAAUGGUGGCAACACUGAUCCAGCCAUGCCGCGUGAAGGAUGAAGGCCCUAUGGGUUGUAAACUUCUUUUGUACGGGAAAAAACCUUCUUACGUGUAAGAAGCUGAUUGUACUGUAAGAAUAAGGAUCGGCUAACUCCGUGCCAGCCGCCGCGGUAA